This 237-nucleotide long non-coding RNA is filed under the name Brachypodium distachyon (stiff brome). RNAcentral describes it as "long non-coding RNA (BDIS_LNC000979)". Lineage: Eukaryota; Viridiplantae; Streptophyta; Magnoliopsida; Poales; Poaceae. The record is from RNAcentral.
CCCAUCCCCAUCUGAUAAAUCCUUACAUAAAUGUGCAAGACAAUUAGAACCGCUAGGGAAUUUUUCAACUUGCUUACUACGAAUAGUAUUAAAAGAUGCAGCCAAACGAUCAAUCUCAGUGUCUUUAAUCAGAUGAAUAGAACUAGCAACUUCAGUACUAUUCCUACCCAAAGAGACACCAAUAUUCUCCAUAUUAGAAAUAAAUUCAUCAUCCGAAAUAGAAAGAAUAGAAUUAUC